GAAAGAUUGGGCUAGGAGGGAGGAGGAUCCGAGUUUGCAUCGUUCAUCUUCCAACAGGAGUUUUUAUUACAAGUCUGAGAGUGGGAGAAAGGGAUUAUCUUCUUCGUCGUCUAGAUAUGAUAGGUUUGAGGAUGACCGUGAGAGUCUGAGACCAAUAAAGAAGAGAUCAGAUUAUGAUGUGGACAACUAUGAUAGGCGGAAGAGUUACAAUCGAUACAGUCAUAGUAAUGAUAAAGGGGUUCUAAGCUCUUCUCCAAGGGGUGGAUAUGGUGCUGAAAGGAUUCAUAGGUCAGAGAGUUUUUCUGGACCAAGGAGGGAAGUUCCAAAGGGGUUCAGAUCAGAGAGGGAUAGGUCCAGGCGGGAGGGGAGUGUGUCAUCAUGGCGCAGGUUUGGUGGCGUGAAAGAUAGUGAUGAAGGUGCGAGGAGUGGUGGGGAUUCAGCAAGAGGAAGUAGAGUAGAAUCAGAAGAUAUUGAGAAGGCAAAGUCGCCUCCAGGAUGGCGAGAUGCAAAAUCACCUGCUUGGUCAAAGGACUCUGGUAGUGAGCAAUCAAGGAGUGUUGAAGUUAAGAAAAGUGAAGGCUUGCCAAUGGAGAAUGGUGGACAUAACAGUGAAAUGGAAGAGGGGGAACUGGAGCCUGAUCAUCCAUCUUCUGCCACUGAGCCUGCUGCUGAAGAUGAAGCUUCUGGUGAGGUGAACCGCUCACAGAUGGAGCAUGAGAGUGAGCGUCAAGUUGAUAGUAAGAGACAAGAUGAUGGGGUUAAUUCUUUGUACGACCAGAAGGUUGAGCUCAGAAAAGUAAGUGUUACUGCUGAGCAGUCGGAAGAAACACAGUCGGAUAAUGUCCAAGACAUUUUCAAGGACGGUGAUGGUUUGUCUGAUCACGGCACUUCAAUGGGGCACAGUGGAAUGGGAAAUGGAACUGGGACUCUGAGAGAUCAUGUUGGUGAAAAGAAUGGGUCCACUAGGAAAAACAAUGGCUCUAGGGAAGAAGAAAAGAAUGUGGAUGCUGAGAAGUUACCACCUAAAAAGAGGGAACAAGGGGAGGAGAAAAACAGAGAUGCUAAAUCUAAGAUAAAUUGUAUUGAGAUCCGUGAAUUAAAUAGAGAGCUUGUUGGGGAAGAUGGACCAGCAGACUCUGUUUCUUCUGUUGCACAUGCAGAUGUAUCACUAAGUGUCAAGGACAAGGGAAAAAGUCUCGCUGUUUCGCCUGAAAAUAUCACUGCCCCUCCUGCAGAUGGUUUGAUGAUGGAUAACGAGCCAAGAGGCAUUGUACCUUGUGGAAACUCUGAUAUGGAAGGACCAAGUACGAGGGGCCUUGAGUUGUUCUUGUCUGGUCCUGUCAAAAAACCUGAAAAGGCAGACAAAUUUAGUAAUUGCAUGACCAAAGAUGAAAAGUUCGGUCUGGAACCACUUGAGCUUUCUCUUAGCUUGCCAAAUGUCCUGUUGCCUAUUGGUGCACAGAAUGAAGUUCAACCUCCUGGUUCUCCUAGUCAAGGAAGGAGUUUCCAAUCCUUUGCCAGCUCAUUUCGCACGAAUUCUGAUGGCUUUACCAUGUCUAUGUCCUUUUCAGGGUCACAACACUUCACUCAUAAUCCUAGUUGCUCAAUGACACAUAAUUCAGUUGAUUAUGAGCAAUCUGUUAAAAGCCGCCCCCUCUUUCAAGGUGUCGAUUGGCAAGCCCUCGCUUCAAAUGAGCAGAAGAAUAAUGACAUCCCAAAUUGUCAAGGCAUGUUAUCAAAUGGAACUGGUCCGUAUCAGCAGUCUCAAGCAUCUCAAGGAAAUUCUAGUGGUCAAGCUGUAGCAAAACAUCUCAGAGCUGCAGAGGAAAGCUCCAAAUUAGCUGCUGGGCUGGACAGGCAACUAAGUACUGGUCAAGCAUCUCGUCAUCCAAAUGGAGCUAGAUCUCCUACACAGAGUGUUGGGUCUCAUGAAACUGGGUCAGAAUACAAUAAAGAUAAGAAACAAUUAACUAGAGCAAAAGAUAGCAGCUUUUAUAGGUUCGGUGGUUCUGAUGGCAAAGAGAUCCAACUGCCUAUUGGAUCUGACUUCAUCGAAUCAGUAAUCACAACCAUGGUUUCUGAACCAAUACAUGUGACUGCAAGGAGGUUUAAUGAGAUCUCUGGGCAACAGUUGCUUUGUGUGAAGGAGGCACUCAGUGACAUCAUCACAAAUCCUGGCAAACAUUGGCAGCUUAGUACUCUGCAAAAGGCCCUGCAGAAGAGGUCUGACAUCACUUUGGAUACACUACUGAAAUCGCACAGGAGUCAACUAGAGUUGUUGGUGGCUCUGAGAACUGGUCUCCAAGAAUUUCUCCAGCCAAGUUAUGAUGUUUCUACAUCUGACUUGGCAGAUAUAUUUCUGAAUUUAAGAUGUAGAAAUCUCACUUGUCGAUCUUCGUUGCCUGUGGAUGAAUGUGAGUGCAAAGUAUGCUCACAGAAGAAUGGUUUCUGCAGUGCUUGCAUGUGUCUUGUGUGUUCCAAGUUUGACAUGGCAUCUAAUACUUGUAGCUGGGUUGGGUGUGAUGUUUGUCUGCAUUGGUGUCACGCUGAUUGUGGGCUACGUGAAUCUUACAUCAGGAAUGGACGUAGUGCUUCUGGUGCAAAGGGUUGUGUAGAGAUGCAAUUCCAUUGUGUUGCGUGUAACCAUCCAUCUGAAAUGUUUGGUUUUGUAAAAGAGGUUUUCCAAAACUUUGCUAAGGAAUGGACGGCAGAAGCAUUUUCGAAGGAGCUUGAAUAUGUGAAAAGAAUUUUUCGUGCCAGCGAGGACAUCAGAGGGAAACGCUUGCAUGACAUUGCUAAUUAUAUGUUGUCAAAAUUGGCAAUUAAGGCUGACCUUCAAGAAGUUCAAAGUCAAAUGAUGCAUUUCUUCCUGACAGAGCCAGAUUCAGUCAAAACUGAUAAUGCUCCAAUUAUUCAAGGAAAGGAGUUGUCAACAAAGAACCAUGAAGGGAACAAUGGUAUUGCUCGGCCCAGCCAGGGAGCGAUGUGGCUAAAAGCAGUUAGUUCUGAGAAGGCUCCUCAAGUGGAAAAGCCUACAGGUUUGCCUUCAAGUUUUGAUAGCCUCCGGAACGAAAAGCAGGCAAUGAACUCGAGUUUCCAGCCAAGUAUGGAAAAGGGGCCAGUAUUUGAUGAACUAGACAGCAUAGUUAGAAUCAAGCAGGCAGAAGCUAAAAUGUUCCAAGCACGAGCUGAUGAAGCUAGGAGAGAGGCUGAUGCUCUGAAACGCAUUGGUGGAACUAAGAGUGAGAGAAUUGAAGAAGAAUAUGUAACUCGAAUCACAAAGUUGCGGUUGGCUGAAGCUGAGGAUAUGCGGAAACAGAAGUUGCAAGAGCUGCAGUCUUUAGAAAGAGCUUAUCAGGAGUACUUCAAUAUGAAAAUGAGAAUGGAAAAUAACAUCAAAGAUCUCUUGUUGAAGAUGGAAGCUACUAGAAGGAAUCUCAGUUUGUGAUUAACUAGUAGCACCUUGUUUAGGACAACACCUUGUUUUUUUUUUCUUAAGCAGCAUUUGCAAGGUUUGAAACACCUCAAGUAUAUUAACUUGUAGUUGUUCUUUAGUCUAGUAGUCCUUGUAUUCUGCUAACCAGAUUCUGUACAGAGACCACCUUAUCUCUUUAUGUUACAGAUGAACUCCAGUUAUGCACAAGAUGUGAAAACCAGGAAAAUAG
RNAcentral lists this unclassified non-coding RNA (3665 nucleotides) under Hevea brasiliensis (rubber tree). Lineage: Eukaryota; Viridiplantae; Streptophyta; Magnoliopsida; Malpighiales; Euphorbiaceae. The record is from RNAcentral.